Molecule: ribosomal RNA, 279 nt
Filed under: Clostridioides difficile
Lineage: Bacteria; Bacillati; Bacillota; Clostridia; Peptostreptococcales; Peptostreptococcaceae
Description: partial 23S ribosomal RNA
Rfam family: Bacterial large subunit ribosomal RNA
Source: RNAcentral
CUUUUUGUAGAACGGGCCAACGAGUUACGUUAAGUAGCAAGGUUAAGCACUUAAGGUGCGGAGCCGUAGCGAAAGCGAGUUUUAACUGAGCGUUCAGUUAUUUGACGUAGACCCGAAACCGGGCGACCUACCCAUGAGCAGGAUGAAGCGAAAGUAAAAUUUCGUGGAGGUCCGACCCCACGAGCGUUGAAAAGCUCGGGGAUGACUUGUGGGUAGCGGUGAAAUUCCAAUCGAGCCCGGAGAUAGCUGGUUCUCCCCGAAAUAGCUUUAGGGCUAGCC